Molecule: long non-coding RNA, 364 nt
Organism: Vespa crabro (European hornet)
Lineage: Eukaryota; Metazoa; Arthropoda; Insecta; Hymenoptera; Vespidae
Exons: 2
Source: RefSeq, a predicted model, not a curated record
UGACGACGAACUGUUGAACUCCACGGGAGACGAUCUAGCUGCGAGGUGAAAUCUCGCUCAGAUUCUAUUUGAAAGUCAAAUGACAACCGAUUAUCCGACUGGCUAUCUUCUAACUUGAAAUUGAUUUUCAAAGAAACAGCUUUGCGAAGAAUUUGCCAACCACUAAGUCCGAUCUCCUAAUGACACAAAAGGGAAGAGAAAGAGGGGGAGAGAGAGAGAGAGAGAGAGAGAGAGAAAGAGGAUGGAAGGGGACAAAAAAAAAAAGAAUUUAAUUAUUAUUGCAAACCUUCGUUCAAUUUUAUGAUCAUAUUCAUAUUGGUAUGAAGUUUUAUAAAUUUUGGAAAAUACAAUUUUUAUUAUAAUA